RNAcentral lists this ribosomal RNA (1349 nucleotides) under Dokdonia genika. Its description in RNAcentral is "bacterial SSU rRNA". The record is from RNAcentral. Lineage: Bacteria; Pseudomonadati; Bacteroidota; Flavobacteriia; Flavobacteriales; Flavobacteriaceae.
CAGGAGUAGCUUGCUAUUUGCUGACGACCGGCGCACGGGUGCGUAACGCGUAUAGAAUCUACCUUAUACUGGGGGAUAGCCUUUGGAAACGAAGAUUAAUACCCCAUAGUAUUAUUUUUUGGCAUCAUUAAAUAAUUAAAGUUUCGGCGGUAUAAGAUGACUAUGCGUUCUAUUAGUUAGUUGGUAAGGUAACGGCUUACCAAGACUUCGAUAGAUAGGGGUCCUGAGAGGGAGAUCCCCCACACUGGUACUGAGACACGGACCAGACUACUACGGGAGGCAGCAGUGAGGAAUAUUGGACAAUGGAGGCAACUCUGAUCCAGCCAUGCCGCGUGUAGGAAGACUGCCCUAUGGGUUGUAAACUACUUUUAUAUGGGAAGAAUAAGGUCUACGUGUAGAUCGAUGACGGUACCAUAAGAAUAAGCACCGGCUAACUCCGUGCCAGCAGCCGCGGUAAUACGGAGGGUGCAAGCGUUAUCCGGAAUCAUUGGGUUUAAAGGGUCCGUAGGCGGGCAUAUAAGUCAGUGGUGAAAGUCUGUGGCUUAACCAUAGAAUUGCCAUUGAUACUGUAUGUCUUGAAUUAUUGUGAAGUGGUUAGAAUAUGUAGUGUAGCGGUGAAAUGCUUAGAGAUUACAUAGAAUACCGAUUGCGAAGGCAGAUCACUAACAAUAUAUUGACGCUGAUGGACGAAAGCGUAGGUAGCGAACAGGAUUAGAUACCCUGGUAGUCUACGCCGUAAACGAUGGAUACUAGUUGUUUGGUUUUUGGACUGAGUGACUAAGCGAAAGUGAUAAGUAUCCCACCUGGGGAGUACGUUCGCAAGAAUGAAACUCAAAGGAAUUGACGGGGGCCCGCACAAGCGGUGGAGCAUGUGGUUUAAUUCGAUGAUACGCGAGGAACCUUACCAGGGCUUAAAUGUAGUCUGACAGCUUUAGAGAUAGAGUUUUCUUCGGACAGAUUACAAGGUGCUGCAUGGUUGUCGUCAGCUCGUGCCGUGAGGUGUCAGGUUAAGUCCUAUAACGAGCGCAACCCCUGUGGUUAGUUGCCAGCGANUAAUGUCGGGAACUCUAGCCAGACUGCCGGUGCAAACCGUGAGGAAGGUGGGGAUGACGUCAAAUCAUCACGGCCCUUACGUCCUGGGCCACACACGUGCUACAAUGGUAGGGACAGAGAGCAGCCACUUAGCGAUAAGGAGCGWAUCUAUAAACCCUAUCUCAGUUCGGAUUGGAGUCUGCAACUCGACUCCAUGAAGCUGGAAUCGCUAGUAAUCGGAUAUCAGCCAUGAUCCGGUGAAUACGUUCCCGGGCCUUGUACACACCGCCCGUCAAGCCAUGGAAGCUGGGGGUACC